Long non-coding RNA from Oncorhynchus keta (chum salmon), 343 nucleotides. RefSeq lists it as uncharacterized. Lineage: Eukaryota; Metazoa; Chordata; Actinopteri; Salmoniformes; Salmonidae. The transcript has 3 exons. The record is from RefSeq and is a predicted model, not a curated record.
AUACAACACAGGUUAUAUACCCAGCCCAGUGGAGACCGUCCCCGAAACACAGGUUAUAUACCCAGCCCAGUGGAGACAGUCCCCGACACACAGGUUAUAUACCCAGCCCAGUGGAGACCGUCCCCGACACACAGGUUAUAUACCCAGCCCAGUGGAGACAGUCCCCGACACACAGGUUAUAUACCCAGCCCAGUGGAGACCGUCCCCGACACACAGGUUAUAUACCCAGCCCAGUGGAGACAGUCCCCGAAACACAGGUUAUAUACCCAGCCCAGUGGAGACAGUCCCCGAAACACAGGUUAUAUACCCAGCCCAGUGGAGACAGUCCCUGACACACAGGUUA